GGAUUCCUCCCGGGGAGACUACAGCCUGUCAGCAUGGCUCACGAGUUUGUGAACAGCAAAAUCCGGCUGGGGAAGGUGGUCGUGUUCAUCAAGCCCACCUGCCCCUGCUGUAGAAAGACCCAAGAGAUCCUCAGUCAGUUGCCCUUCAAACAAGGAGCUCUGGAAUUUGUCGAUAUCACAGCCACUGACGACACAAAUGAGAUUCAAGAUUAUUUGCAACAGCUCACAGAAGCAAGAAUGGGGCCUCGAGUCUUUAUUGGUAAAAAUUGCAUAGGUGGGUGCAGUGAUCUAAUAACUAUGCAACAGAGUGGGGAACUGGUGACGUGGCUAAAGCAGAUUGGAGCUCUGUGGUAA
This is an RNA transcript of Galeopterus variegatus (Sunda flying lemur), 354 nucleotides long. It is a transcript of the gene named glutaredoxin-1 pseudogene, with no coding region annotated. Lineage: Eukaryota; Metazoa; Chordata; Mammalia; Dermoptera; Cynocephalidae. The transcript has a single exon. The record is from RefSeq and is a predicted model, not a curated record.